RNAcentral lists this ribosomal RNA (330 nucleotides) under uncultured eukaryote. Its description in RNAcentral is "partial 18S ribosomal RNA". It matches the Rfam family "Eukaryotic small subunit ribosomal RNA", at positions 1470 to 1796 of the family's 1831-position model. The record is from RNAcentral.
CCCUUAGAUGUUCGGGGCCGCACGCGCGCUACACUGAAGGAAUCAGCACGUCUUUCUCCUUGUCCGAAAGGACUGGGUAACCCGCUGAACCUCCUUCGUGCUAGGGAUUGGGGCUUGUAAUUCUUCCCCAUGAACGAGGAAUUCCCAGUAAGCGCGAGUCAUAGGCUCGCGUUGAUUACGUCCCUGCCCUUUGUACACACCGCCCGUCGCUACUACCGAUUGGAUGGUUUAGUGAGAUCCUCGGAUUGGUCCCGGCGCGGCCUCUGGUCGUGCCGGAGUGCCGAAAAGAAUGUCGAACUUGAUCAUCUAGAGGAAGUAAAAGUCGUAACA